This 742-nucleotide ribosomal RNA is filed under the name Eudiaptomus environmental sample. RNAcentral describes it as "SSU rRNA". It matches the Rfam family "Eukaryotic small subunit ribosomal RNA", at positions 626 to 1367 of the family's 1831-position model. Lineage: Eukaryota; Metazoa; Arthropoda; Copepoda; Calanoida; Diaptomidae. The record is from RNAcentral.
GCUCGUAGUUGGAUCUCGGCGGACAGAAGUCGGUCCGAAUGCCUUCGGUACUGGCUUGUUUGUCCGUGUGUUUUGCCAGAGGCAGGCGGGUGCUCUUCGCCGAGUGUCCGUCUGUGCUGGCAGGUUUACUUUGAAAAAAUUAGAGUGCUCAAAGCAAGCUCUCACGCUUGAAUAUUCGUGCAUGGAAUAAUAGAAUAGGAUGUCGUUUCUAUUUUGUUGGUUUUCGGAAAUCGACAUAAUGAUUAAUAGGGACAGUCGGGGGCAUUUGUAUUCAAACGACAGAGGUGAAAUUCUUGGACCGUUUGAAGACAAACUACUGCGAAAGCAUUUGCCAAGAAUGUUUUCAUUAAUCAAGAACGAAAGUUAGAGGUUCGAGGGCGAUUAGAUACCGCCCUAGUUCUAACCAUAAACGAUGCCAGCUAGCGAUCUGCAGGCGUUUUACUUUACGACCUUGCAGGGAGCUUCCGGGAAACCAAAGCUUGUGGGUUCCAGGGGAAGUAUGGUUGCAAAGCUGAAACUUAAAGGAAUUGACGGAAGGGCACCACCAGGAGUGGAGCCUGUGGCUUAAUUUGACUCAACACGGGAAAUCUCACCAGGCCCGGACACGAGAAGGAUUGACAGAUUGAUAGCUCUUUCUUGAUUUCGCGGGUGGUGGUGCAUGGCCGUUCUUAGUUGGUGGAGUGAUUUGUCUGGUUAAUUCCGAUAACGAACGAGAUUCUGUCCUGCUAACUAGUGUCUGCUU